Molecule: unclassified non-coding RNA, 347 nt
Filed under: soil metagenome
Description: partial contains 5.8S ribosomal RNA, internal transcribed spacer 2, and large subunit ribosomal RNA
Rfam family: 5.8S ribosomal RNA (bases 1-120)
Source: RNAcentral
GAUGAAGAACGUAGUGAAAUGCGAUAAUUAAUGUGAAUUGCAGAAUUCAGUGAAUCAUCGAGUCUUUGAACGCACAUUGCGCCCCCUGGUAUUCCGGGGGUCAUGCCUGUCCGAGCGUCAUUGCUGCCCUCAAGCACGGCUUGUGUGUUGGGCUUCCGUCCCUGGCAACGGGGACGGGCCCAAAAGGCAGUGGCGGCACCAUGUCUGGUCCUCGAGCGUAUGGGGCUUUGUCACCCGCUCCCGUAGGUCCAGCUGGCAGCUAGCCUCGCAACCAAUCUUUUUAACCAGGUUGACCUCGGAUCAGGUAGGGAUACCCGCUGAACUUAAGCAUAUCAAUAAGCGGAGGA